This 591-nucleotide long non-coding RNA is filed under the name Homo sapiens (human). RNAcentral's name for it is "novel transcript". Lineage: Eukaryota; Metazoa; Chordata; Mammalia; Primates; Hominidae. The record is from RNAcentral.
AGCACCGACCAUGUGCCGAGAGCUAACUGUGUCAAGAAGAGCAUGCUUCAGUUGGCUGGAGUGAGCAAUUCAACUUGUGGAGGAGUGAGAAAUGUUAGUGUUGAGACAAGAAACGUAAAACCCCAGGGACAGCAAGGCUGAGGAGAAUGGCUCCCACAGCUUCAUGCACUCCAUGGACCCACAGCUGGAGCGGCAAAUGGAAACCACCCAGAACCUGGUGGACUCCUACAUGGCCAUUGUCAACAAGACCGUGUGGGACCUCAUGACCAAGGAGUUCAUCUUCUCGGAGCUGCUGUCCAACCUGCGCUCGCGUGGGAACGAGAAGACACUCAUGGAGGAGUCGGCAGAGUAGGCACAGCGGCGCGACGAGAUGCUGCUUCUCAGAGCUGCUGUCCAACCUGCACUCGCUUGGGAACCAGAAGACACUCGUGGAGGAGUCGGCAGAGCAGGCACAGCGGCGCGACGAGACUCGCGUGGGAAGAAAUAGACACUCCUGGAGGAGUCGGCAGAGCAGGCACAGCGGCGCGACGAGACUCGCGUGGGAACGAGAAGACACUCCUGGAGGAGUCGGCAGAGCAGGCAGACCAAGGA